Galleria mellonella (greater wax moth) is the source of this 495-nucleotide long non-coding RNA. RefSeq lists it as uncharacterized. The record is from RefSeq and is a predicted model, not a curated record. Lineage: Eukaryota; Metazoa; Arthropoda; Insecta; Lepidoptera; Pyralidae. The transcript is spliced from 3 exons.
UUUUCUAUUCAAUUAAAAUAAAGUACAUUAAUAAUUAUAUAAUAUUUUUUCAGAGUUAAUUAGUAAUAGGCCGUCCCUUCAGAUUUCCCGAUAACGAUCUGCCCUAGAGAUUGGUCACAACAACGUCACAUGGCAAUAUUCGAGAUUGUCAAACGCCGCGCACCUGCUUGCAACCUGACAUUUUGAAAUUUUUAUUGAAGAAGAAUGUUGAUCAACAAUGUCAACUAAGUGUUCGGUGAAGGCUCCAAAAACGAACGAAUAAUUAAGGCCUAACUUGCAGAUACACAGAUAUCAAGUACAGCUAGAGAACAGGUAAAGUGACUCGCCUCAGCAUGCAAUUCGAGUUACCUGUACACCACACCUGCCAACUUGACGCGUGCCUUUACGGAGAUGUUCUAUUAUCAAUACAGGAAUAUGUGAUGUAUAGAGGCAAUAAAUAGUUUAAUUAAUAAUUUUAAUGAACAUUUAAACCAGUUAAACUCUAACAUAUUUUAA